Molecule: ribosomal RNA, 303 nt
Filed under: uncultured bacterium
Lineage: Bacteria
Description: partial 16S ribosomal RNA
Rfam family: Bacterial small subunit ribosomal RNA
Source: RNAcentral
AGCAGUCGCCGCGGGAAUACAGAGGGUGCGAGCGUUAAUCGGAUUUACUGGGCGUAAAGCGUGCGUAGGCGGCUAAUUGAGUCGGAUGUGAAAUCCCCGAGCUUAACUUGGGAAUUGCAUUCGAUACUGGUUAGCUAGAGUGUGGGAGAGGAUGGUAGAAUUCCAGGUGUAGCGGUGAAAUGCGUAGAGAUCUGGAGGAAUACCGAUGGCGAAGGCAGCCAUCUGGCCUAACACUGACGCUGAGGUACGAAAGCAUGGGGAGCAAACAGGAUUAGAUACCCGUGUAGUCCCUGUCUCUUAUAC